This 2832-nucleotide ribosomal RNA is filed under the name Cinetochilum margaritaceum. RNAcentral's name for it is "sequence contains ITS1, 5.8S rRNA gene, ITS2". The stretch from base 1 to 1694 matches the Rfam family "Eukaryotic small subunit ribosomal RNA". Lineage: Eukaryota; Ciliophora; Oligohymenophorea; Philasterida; Cinetochilidae. The record is from RNAcentral. RNAcentral also lists the same sequence under 1 other name.
AAUAGUAUACAGUGAAACUGCGAAUGGCUCAUUAAAACAGUUAUAGUUUAUUUGAUAAUGGAACUUUACAUGGAUAACCGUGGUAAUUCUAGAGCUAAUACAUGCUAUAUGCCCGGCUUCUGGCAGGGCUGUAUUUAUUAGAUACUAAACCAGUGUCGCAAGACAUUGUGGUGAAUCACAGUAACUGAUCGAAUCGGCGCGCAAGCGGCGAUAAAUCAUUCAAGUUUCUGCCCUAUCAGCUUUCGAUGGUAGUGUAUUGGACUACCAUGGCAGUCACGGGUAACGGAGAAUUAGGGUUCGGUUCCGGAGAGGGAGCCUGAGAAACGGCUACCACAUCUAAGGAAGGCAGCAGGCGCGUAAAUUACCCAAUCCUGAUUCAGGGAGGUAGUGACAAGAAAUAACAACCUGGGGGCUUCAAGCCUUGCGGGAUUGCAAUGAGAACAAUACAGAUCACUUAGCGAGAAACAAUUGGAGGGCAAGUCUGGUGCCAGCAGCCGCGGUAAUUCCAGCUCCAAUAGCGUAUAUUAAAGUUGUUGCAGUUAAAAAGCUCGUAGUUGAAUGUCUGAUCAGCGUGUAUUUCGGCUCUCGUCGUGUACACGUUGGUCAUCCGCAUAUGAAUCCAGUGAGGCAUUCAUUUGUUUGACUGGGGGAGUGUGCAAUUUACUUUGAAAAAAUUAGAGUGUUUCAGGCAGGCAAUGGCUUGAAUACAUUAGCAUGGAAUAAUGGAAUAGGACUAGAGUCAAUUUUAUUGGUUAUUUGACUUUAGUAAUGAUUAAUAGGGACAGUUGGGGGCAUUAGUAUUUAAUUGUCAGAGGUGAAAUUCUUGGAUUUAUUAAAGACUAACUUAUGCGAAAGCAUUUGCCAAGGAUGUUUUCAUUAAUCAAGAACGAAAGUUAGGGGAUCAAAGACGAUCAGAUACCGUCCUAGUCUUAACUAUAAACUAUACCGACUCGGGAUCGGGUGGGAUGUUCAAGCCUGCUCGGCACCGUAAGAGAAAUCAAAGUCUUUGGGUUCUGGGGGGAGUAUGGUCGCAAGGCUGAAACUUAAAGGAAUUGACGGAAGGGCACCACCAGGAGUGGAGCCUGCGGCUUAAUUUGACUCAACACGGGGAAACUUACCAGGUCAAAACAUGGGUGGGAUUGACAGAUUGAGAGCUCUUUCUUGAUUCUGUGGGUGGUGGUGCAUGGCCGUUCUUAGUUGGUGGAGUGAUUUGUCUGGUUAAUUCCGUUAACGAACGAGACCUUAACCUGCUAAAUAGUUGCGCUAAAUCAAGCGUUAACUUCUUAGAGGGACUUCGUGUAUCAAGCAUGAGGAAGUUUGAGGCAAUAACAGGUCUGUGAUGCCCUUAGAUGUCCUGGGCCGCACGCGCGCUACAAUGACACGUGCAGCGAGUAUUUCCUUGCCUGAAAAGGUCGGGUAAACUUCAUAAUGCGUGUCGCGAUAGGGAUAGACCUUUGCAAUUAUAGGUCUUGAACGAGGAAUUCCUAGUAAGUGCAAGUCAUCAGCUUGUACUGAUUACGUCCCUGCCCUUUGUACACACCGCCCGUCGCUCCUACCGAUUCGAGUGAUCCGGUGAACCUUCUGGAUUGGUUAAUGCCUCGUGUAUUGAUCGAGAAGUUAAGUAAACCUUAUCACUUAGAGGAAGGAGAAGUCGUAACAAGGUUUCCGUAGGUGAACCUGCGGAAGGAUCAUUAUCAACAUAUUUACAACCUAAUCUUAGUUGGAAAAGUGGUGGACUUCCCAGUGAUGAUAGCAAUAUCGUCGCUGGGGGUACACCAAAUUUCUUAAACCUUAUUCCUAGCUUUAGCAUAAAAACUAAGCCAGAAAUAUAAAAAUUGAAAAAUUUUCAACGGUGGAUAUCUAGGUUCCCGUAACGAUGAAGAACGCAGCGAAAUGCGAUACGCAAUGCGAAUUGCAGAAUCCGCGAGUCAUCAGAUCUUUGAACGCAAGUGGCACCGAUCAUAUCGGUAUGUUUGUUUCAGUGUGGAAGGAAUCACAAAUCUAAAUGCGAUUGAUAGCUCGGGGUUCCUGCAUGUGGCAACACUGUAGGGGUUCUUGAAACAUCUCUCGUUAAACACGACCGGUUCUGUGAGAAUUCACGGGACGCUCGCGCAACGAAGUAGUCUCAUUAUUGAGAUCUCGGGGCGAGUAUCAGAGCGGAAAAACCUGAGUUUUCGAUAAAAACACAGUUAACCAAUCACUAUGAAAAAUUAAAACUUUCUAUCACCACCUGAAAUCAAGCAAGACGACCCGCUGAACUUAAGCAUAUCAGUAAGCGGAGGAAAAGAAACUAACAAGGAUUGCCUCAGUAGCGGCGAGUGAACCGGCAAAAGCUCAAAGUUAAAAUCUUUAGCGUACAGUUAAAGAAUUGUAAUCUUGAGGUGCGAUCGGAAGUCAUGGAGGAAGCAUAAGUUGGUUGAAAAACCGCGCCAAAGAGGGUGAAAGCCCCGUAGUAGGCGUCCUCCUAGACGUACGAAAGUAACCACAGAGUCGGGUUGUUUGGGAAUGCAGCCCUAAAUGGGAGAUAAACUUCUUCUAAAGCUAAAUACAAACGGGAAACCGAUAGCGAACAAGUACUGCGAAGGAAAGAUGAAAAGAACUUUGAAAAGAGAGUUAAAAGACUUGAAACCGUUGAGAAGGAAGCGGUAGAAGAGCAAUUAAUCGACCGGGCUGUUGUGACUAGAGUACGGUAACUGCGGCGAAGAGUGACGUCAAAGCACUUAAGUCGUAAGUGAACCGGACUCAGGAACUUUUUCACGGUCGAAAGGCAAAAUGAGGUCCACGCUGCCGGAAUCACUACCCACUAGAUCUGUGGAAUAGAAAACGGCAGAC